RNA transcript from Gymnodraco acuticeps, 2551 nucleotides. It is a transcript of the gene named E3 ubiquitin-protein ligase TRIM39-like, with no coding region annotated. The record is from RefSeq and is a predicted model, not a curated record. Lineage: Eukaryota; Metazoa; Chordata; Actinopteri; Perciformes; Bathydraconidae. The transcript has 3 exons.
AGUAAAGGUAAAGCAGAGCUGCAGUCCUGACAAGUCUCUCAGUUUCUCUCUAAAUACACACUCGACUGAAUCCAGCAGCUUUCUCUCAACAACACAGCAGAAUCUCUGCCAAACACUGAGAGACAUGUCUGCUGCCAGCUGUCUGCUGACUGAAGAUCAGUUUAUGUGCUCCAUCUGUCUGAAUGUGUUCACUGAUCCAGUCAGCACACCAUGUGGACACAACUUCUGUAAAGCCUGCAUCACUCAACACUGGGAUAGAAAUAUCCCGAGUCAGUGUCCCAACUGUAAAAAGGUGUUCAACAUAAAGCCUGAGCUGCAGGUCAACACUUUCAUCUCUGAGAUGGCUGCUCAGUUCAGACAGUCAGCUCAACAGAAAGCCAGCAGCAGCAGCUCAGAGCAACAAGUUGUCAAACCAGGAGAAGUUCCCUGUGACGCCUGCACUGGAACCAGACUGAAGGCCCUGAAGUCCUGCCUGGUGUGUCUGGAGUCCUACUGUGAGACUCACCUGGCGCCUCACCUGACAAGAGCAGGCCUGAAGAAACAUCAGCUGAUCGACCCUGAGGAGAACCUGGAAAGCAGGAUGUGUGUGAAGCACGAUAAACCGCUGGAGCUGUUCUGUCAGACCGACCAGGUGUGUGUCUGCGUGCUCUGCACUGUUUUAGACCACAAGUUACAUGAUGUUGUUCCUCUGAAAGAAGGAUAUGAAGGAAAGAAGGCUGAGCUGGGGAAGACAGAGGCUGAAAUUCAGCAGAUGAUCCAGAAGAGACGACUGAAGAUCCAGGAGAUGAAUCGCUCAGUGGAGCUCAGUAAGGAAGGAGCAGACAGAGAGAUAGCAGAUGGUGUUCAGGUCUUCACCGCUCUGAAGGAGUCUGUUGAGAGAAGCCAGGCCGAGCUCAUCGACACCAUCAAAGAGAAGCAGAGAGAGACAGAGGAACAGGCUGAAGGCUUCAUCAAAGAGCUGGAACAGGAAAUCUCUGAGCUGAAGAAGAGGAGCUCUGAGGUGGAGCAGCUCUCACGCUCUGAAGACCAGCUCCACCUCCUCCAAAGCUUCACGUCCCUGAACGCUGCUCCACCCACCAAGAACUGGACAGAAGUCAGGGUCCGUCCACCUUCAUAUGAGGGGACUGUGAGGAGAGCUGUGACUCAGCUGGAGGAGACGCUCAGUAAACAGAAGAAGCUGCUUGAGGUGGAGCUGAAGAGGGUCCAGCAGUCUGAGGUGGAUGUGACUCUUGAUCCUGAUACAGCACAUCCUGAACUCAUCCUGUCUGAUGAUGGAAAACAAGUUAAAGACAGUGAUGUGAAGAAGAAUCUUCCAGACAAUCCAGAGAGAUUUGAUCAUUGUGCUCGUGUCUUAGCAAAGCAGAGUUUCUCUUCAGGAAGAUUUUAUUACGAGGUUCAGGUUGAAGGGAAGACUGGGUUGGUUCUAGGAGUGGCUAGAGAGUCGAUAAACAGAAAGGGAAAUAUCACAAUGACUCCUCAGAAAGGUUACUGGAUAAUAUGGCUGAUUAAAAAUGAGUACACAGCUUUUGCUGGUCCUGCAGUCCGUCUCUCUCUGAAGUCUCAGCCUGAGAAGGUGGGGGUGUUUGUGGAUUAUGAGGAGGGUCUGGUCUCCUUUUAUGAUGUUGAUGCUGCAGCUCUGAUCUACUCCUUCACUGGCUGCUGCUUCAAAGAGAAACUCUACCCUCAUUUCGGUCCAGGUCUUAAUUAUGGUGGUAAAAACUCUGCCCCUCUGAUCAUCUCUCCUGUCAAUCACACUGAGUAGAACAAACAUUUAAUGUUUUUUUUUCUUUCUUUGAUGCUGUUUGUUACAAUUACAGGCAUAUUUUUCAAAACAAAAUUGAUAUCAUGUAAGGUCUCAUUGAUUCUAAUGACUGCAUGACCUGCACCAAUGAACACGAAACAAUUACAUGUCCAUUAAUGUCUUGAGCGAAGGAAAUUAGUUUUUAUUGUAUACAUUCAUACAGAGCCCGAUCUGCUUAAAAAAACGCUUUUCGUAUAAUACCUCUCACUGCCUGAACAAUAGACACAGGCCAUCACUGCAAGUCUAACCAUAGGGUGUUAAAUAAUAACUCCAAUUAAAAUGUCAAGAGCCACUAAUUUGGUGAUAGCUAACUAGAAGGCCAACCUGUCGUGUUAGACACUACCACACUGUAUUAGGCAUUCAUAAUCAAUCUUAUUCUCAAUGCCACUGGUACAUGUAGUGCAAAAGGUGCAUCCACAAAAUGCGGUUCGAGAUAUUUUUACUUUUAUUUUUGUACAACUAAAGCCUUAAGAAAAGAGACGGUGUAGGAGCCAAAACGCUUAGUUAGCCUGUGUUUAUUGUUUUUAUUAGUAUCAUUAUUGUUUACAAAGAACGCAUUUGUUUUUGACCACUUCCAGUAGUUCUCCAGGGUGUGGUUUUAUGGUAUUCAGGUCACCUCUUGUAUGUCGGGGUUGGUGGAAAGACAAUGGGGUAGUUUUUCUUCCAUAAUGUUUUGUUGACCGUAUGGUCCAUCUUUAGUUAUGGUGUGUUUUAUUUCUUUAUUAAACAGAGCAAAGAGCUGAACUGUGA